ACUCCUACGGGGGGCAGCAUAGGGAAUUUUCCGCAAUGGACGAAAGUCUGACGGAGCAAUGCCGCGUGAGUGAUGAAGGUUUUUCCGAAUCGUAAAGCUCUNUUGUAAGGGAAGAAUAGCAGUAGUAGGAAAUGACUACUGUGUGACGGUACCUUACCAGAAAGCCACGGCUAACUACGUGCCAGCAGCCGCGGUAAUACGUAGGUGGCAAGCGUUAUCCGGAAUUAUUGGGCGUAAAGCGCAUGUAGGCGGCUCUUUAAGUCUGAUGUGAAAGCCUGUGGCUCAACCACAGAAUUGCAUUGGAUACUGGAGAGCUAGAAUCUUGGAGAGGAAGUGGAAUUUCAUGUGUAGCGGUGGAAUGCGUAGUAUAUG
Molecule: ribosomal RNA, 372 nt
Filed under: uncultured bacterium
Lineage: Bacteria
Description: bacterial SSU rRNA
Rfam family: Bacterial small subunit ribosomal RNA
Source: RNAcentral